UUCACACUAUUUGAAUUUCUCCCAAUUUCACAAGGCAGAGCAGUUUCGGGUUGAUCAAGCCCGCCAACUACAGAACUACGCGGCAAUUGCGUUACACCGGGAUCGCCUACCGCCGCACAAUCAAAGGCAUCGGUGAUUCUUAUUGCUAUUGAUUUCUCUGCAAAGUUUAGGUUGAAGCUGCAAUCGAGGAUUAAAAAUGUGUUAAACACAUACCUUAUGAAAUGAUACAUCACCAGCGCAUCUUUUUGAGUCCUCCACAAUGAAGAGUUAAGGUUGUCUGCAUAUUGCAUGCAAGGGAUGCUGAACAGAGAGUUUGUAGAAGUUGAUCAGUACCUCUUUGGUACUGUUUAUUGAAUAGAAUUUAACCUCUGAUCAUUGAAAAAAAGGGGAUGUCUUACAGAGAGUCCAUUCUCAAAGCUCUAGCGUAAUCACAAGAUAGUUAUACCAAUUGAACUAAUGCAGGGUUAGUUGGAUCAACAGGACCAAACAUGUCAAACACAUAUAAUCCAAAGUACACUUGUUAAUACAAAUGUUUGGUUGCCUAUCUUAAGUAUCAUAUCAUAGAAUCACGCUUCAAUGCUAUGUUUUUUAUCAGUGAAAUGAGAGUUCUAACAGGCUUUGGAGGAUCGAUUCCACGUAUGUUGCAAAAUACAGGGAUGAAUAGUGGCUAGGGGCGGAAGGCCAACCAUGAACGAAUAUAGCUGGUUUUCUGCGAAAUCUAUUCAGUAGAGUGUAUGAUUUUGAUGGCCUGAGGUAAAUCACUCAAUGGGCUAGGGUGACCACUGGUACUCUUUGACCGCUCAAUGUAAUGGGGACAAGAUGAUGUGACAUUCUACGGUUGAAUUGUGAAUUGUCACAAUGAAAAGUGAUUGAAUUCAAGAACUGUUGAGAGAAGAUCUGCUGGAGAAAUCUUUCGUUUUUGACUUUGAAUUGAUGAGGAAUGAUUGCAUGUUUCUUAAUAUAGAUUAGGCUGCUUCUCUAAUCGGAUCAUAAGUUCCCUUUUCUAGCUCUUUUAAUUAGAAAAAUGAAACUUCACUUUCACCAAUCUCAUAACUCCCUCAAUUUAGAAAUGUCUUCUGACAAUUUCUUGGACUUGUCUCUCAUUUAUAUCCACUUCUUUGCUUUCCAACAGUCCACCUUAUGUACUUCACUAUAUAAGCAGGUAUUACCUUAGUCAGCCAGAAGCUCCACUUAUUGCAUGAGCAUACGUCCUUGGGGCCAAAUUUUCAGGGCUGUGCUGUAAACUUUUACCUUCUGGGUUGGCCUCUCCUAUCCUAUCGUUUUAGGUAAAGGAUGAUCAGAUAAAAGGAAUAGAGUGUGUAAAUAAUAUGUUAUGAGGUUUCAUUUUGCUAGUUGUUCAGAGACCAAACCAAAAUUUUGACCUUAUUUUUUGUGUUUCACAUUCAUGAAUUUGGACGGCAGGACUCAUGCAAUUAUCUAUCAAAAGAUAUCUACUGACUUGGCUAUGAUUCAAAAUGGGGAAGACAUAGGAUGCACAUUGCACAUUCAUUAAUUUUUUGAAGGAAACUAAUUAGCAAAAGUGAUUAUUUUGAGAAGCAAGACAUAAUGAAAUUCUGCUUAUCACAACAGACAUCUCAAAGCACAUUAUUUAGGCAAGAUCUACAUUAAGAUCAAAAGUACCCAAAAGUUGACAGUAGGUGAAGUGCUGAUUGAGAUACAACUUCAUAACUGUCAAAGGAAGAAAGAACUAUUUAGGGAUAUGAGAUAUGAUUGCUCUACUUAGCUGAUGGAUCAUCCACUAAUGAGCUUAGUAAUCAAAUGGAAGUAGAGGAAUAGCACUUGGUUGCAGAAAAUUUCCAAGUAAAAGACAAUUUAGAGGGGGAGCUGAGACACAUUGGCAAUAAUCGAAAUUAUCAGAUCCAGGGUGAAUCUCUGACAGGGAGAAGAAUUUGAUACCUAGCAAAUUUUUGUCGACUUUCUAUGUUUCCUUCCAGGCGCUUGCUAAUUAGGUUACAACCUUGUGAGUUUGUCUAAUUAGUUUAUUUGUCAAUUGGCGAGUGUAUUGUCUCAGCUUUGCUACUUUAUUCUUGCAUAAUGUCCUUUGAGCUCUUUUGCUUGUUAUUCCGAUUCUUCUGUUAAUUUGGCUGGAUCAAAGCUCUGAAUAUCACGUGGCUUAUCUAAUAGGUGCACUCAGAUAUUGAUAGCUCAUUAAAUAUUAUGUUUAUCAGCAUGAUCAUCAAAA
This is a long non-coding RNA of Nicotiana attenuata, 2203 nucleotides long. RefSeq lists it as uncharacterized. The record is from RefSeq and is a predicted model, not a curated record. NCBI's taxonomy places the organism in Eukaryota, Viridiplantae, Streptophyta, Magnoliopsida, Solanales, Solanaceae. The transcript is spliced from 4 exons.